AGAGUUUGAUCCUGGCUCAGGAUGAACGCUGGCGGCGUGCUUAACACAUGCAAGUCGAACGGAGGACCCUUGACGGAGUUUUCGGACAACAGAUAGGAAUCCUUAGUGGCGGACGGGUGAGUAACGCGUGAGGAACCUGCCUUGGAGAGGGGAAUAACACAGUGAAAAUUGUGCUAAUACCGCAUGAUGCAGUUGGGUCGCAUGGCUCUGACUGCCAAAGAUUUAUCGCUCUGAGAUGGCCUCGCGUCUGAUUAGGUAGUUGGUGGGGUAACGGCUCACCAAGCCGACGAUCAGUAGCCGGACUGAGAGGUUGACCGGCCACAUUGGGACUGAGACACGGCCCAGACUCCCACGGGAGGCAGCAGUGGGGAAUAUUGGGCAAUGGGCGCAAGACUGACCCAGCAACGCCGCGUGGAGGAAGAAGGUUUUCGGAUCGUAAACUCCUGUCCUUGGAGACGAGUAGAAGACGGUAUCCAAGGAGGAAGCCCCGGCUAACUACGUGCCAGCAGCCGCGGUAAUACGUAGGGGGCAAGCGUUGUCCGGAAUAAUUGGGCGUAAAGGGCGCGUAGGCGGCUCGGUAAGUCUGGAGUGAAAGUCCUGCUUUUAAGGUGGGAAUUGCUUUGGAUACUGUCGGGCUUGAGUGCAGGAGAGGUUAGUGGAAUUCCCAGUGUAGCGGUGAAAUGCGUAGAGAUUGGGAGGAACACCAGUGGCGAAGGCGACUAACUGGACUGUAACUGACGCUGAGGCGCGAAAGUGUGGGGAGCAAACAGGAUUAGAUACCCUGGUAGUCCACACUGUAAACGAUGAAUGCUAGGUGUAGGGGGUAUCGACCCCUUCUGUGCCGCAGUCAACACAAUAAGCAUUCCGCCUGGGGAGUACGGCCGCAAGGUUGAAACUCAAAGGAAUUGACGGGGGCCCGCACAAGCAGCGGAGCAUGUGGUUUAAUUCGACGCAACGCGAAGAACCUUACCAGGUCUUGACAUCCACUUAAACUUACAGAGAUGUAAGGUGUGCUUGCACAAAGUGAGACAGGUGGUGCAUGGUUGUCGUCAGCUCGUGUCGUGAGAUGUUGGGUUAAGUCCCGCAACGAGCGCAACCCUUAUCUUCAGUUACUAACGCGUAAAGGUGAGGACUCUGAAGAGACUGCCGGGGACAACUCGGAGGAAGGUGGGGACGACGUCAAAUCAUCAUGCCCCUUAUGACCUAGGCUACACACGUGCUACAAUGGCCACGACAGAGAGAAGCGAAAUCGCAAGGUAGAGCGGAACUCAGAAAAGUGGUCCCAGUUCGGAUUGUGAGCUGCAACCCGCCCACAUGAAGUCGGAGUUGCUAGUAAUCGCGGAUCAGCAUGCCGCGGUGAAUACGUUCCCGGGCCUUGUACACACCGCCCGUCACACCAUGGGAGUUGGGAGUGCCCAAAGCCGGUGAGGCAACCGCAAGGAGCCAGCCGUCUAAGGCAAGACCAAUGACUGGGGUGAAGUCGUAACAAGGUA
This 1493-nucleotide ribosomal RNA is filed under the name metagenome. RNAcentral describes it as "bacterial SSU rRNA". It matches the Rfam family "Bacterial small subunit ribosomal RNA". The record is from RNAcentral.